UGCAGUCGAGCGGAAACGACUUAACUGAACCUUCGGGGAACGUUAAGGGCGUCGAGCGGCGGACGGGUGAGUAAUGCCUGGGAAUAUGCCUUAGUGUGGGGGAUAACUAUUGGAAACGAUAGCUAAUACCGCAUAAUGUCUUCGGACCAAAGAGGGGGACCUUCGGGCCUCUCGCGCUAAGAUUAGCCCAGGUGAGAUUAGCUAGUUGGUGAGGUAAGAGCUCACCAAGGCGACGAUCUCUAGCUGGUCUGAGAGGAUGAUCAGCCACACUGGAACUGAGACACGGUCCAGACUCCUACGGGAGGCAGCAGUGGGGAAUAUUGCACAAUGGGCGAAAGCCUGAUGCAGCCAUGCCGCGUGUAUGAAGAAGGCCUUCGGGUUGUAAAGUACUUUCAGUAGGGAGGAAGGUGUUGUAGUUAAUAGCUGCAGCAUUUGACGUUACCUACAGAAGAAGCACCGGCUAACUCCGUGCCAGCAGCCGCGGUAAUACGGAGGGUGCGAGCGUUAAUCGGAAUUACUGGGCGUAAAGCGCAUGCAGGUGGUUCAUUAAGUCAGAUGUGAAAGCCCGGGGCUCAACCUCGGAACCGCAUUUGAAACUGGUGAACUAGAGUGCUGUAGAGGGGGGUAGAAUUUCAGGUGUAGCG
Molecule: ribosomal RNA, 644 nt
Filed under: uncultured Vibrio sp.
Lineage: Bacteria; Pseudomonadati; Pseudomonadota; Gammaproteobacteria; Vibrionales; Vibrionaceae
Description: bacterial SSU rRNA
Rfam family: Bacterial small subunit ribosomal RNA
Source: RNAcentral